UCUUACCACAGCUCGGUGAUCUUGGUCAGACCACAGUCCCUGAAACUGAUGUAGAAGAUUGCAUUCCCAGCCUUGAGAUUUUCCUUUGGCUUCAUGGCUUCACGAGUUUGUAAACAAAGUGGGGUCUCACGAAGAGAUGCGAUUUAUUAGUUCCUCUAUUUCGACCAUGAGUUUAUUGGUUCUCUGUCUCUCUAUACCUU
Long non-coding RNA from Arabidopsis thaliana (thale cress), 200 nucleotides. RefSeq annotates it as other RNA. The record is from RefSeq. Lineage: Eukaryota; Viridiplantae; Streptophyta; Magnoliopsida; Brassicales; Brassicaceae. The transcript has a single exon.